Molecule: long non-coding RNA, 2543 nt
Organism: Erpetoichthys calabaricus (reedfish)
Lineage: Eukaryota; Metazoa; Chordata; Cladistia; Polypteriformes; Polypteridae
Exons: 2
Source: RefSeq, a predicted model, not a curated record
AAAGUGAAGCUAACAGGAAGGCACCAAACAUAAGGAAGACUUUCCAGAACUUGUUACAGUUCAAGCUGCUGUAGCCUUGCAAAGAAAAAAUAUGUGAGAUAGAAUUACCAUCAGUUAAUAAUUUGUUUAAGUAAAAUUUGUACUUAAAUAUUAGAGUGCAGAACAAAAUGAAGAACACCCUGUUUUAUUGAAUGGAAGUGCAGAUAUUGUAAUUUGCUUUACCUGUUUCAGACAUAGUAUGUGAGUAUGCACAAAAGCUAUUCUUUGGUUUUAUUUUAACAAACUUUAACAGUGAAGCAGUACUUCUAUUGCAACAGUUUAUAUAUAUGUUACAAUUGGAAUUUUACAUAUUAAAUCAGAUUCCAAAUGCCUAUGAUUCAGACAGUCUUGAUCAUAAUGAAAGUGACUGCAGUAGCAUGUAUCUUGAUCAGUAUGAUCUCAAAGCAUCAAUAUUAUACUUAAACAUUGCAUCAUCAUCACUGCUACUCAAACCACUAAUUCCUUUAAACCACUAAUGAAUCCUCUGCUGAAUCACAGAUGAUAAUUAGAGAGACAUUUUAAACUGACAAACUUACAGUAGAUGCAAACAAUAAAGUUUAAAUUUUAACAGGGGAAAAAUUGAAAAUUAUAUUCUAAAUGUAUCAUAAUAGCUGAUUUUUAUUUUCUUUUAAAAUUAAGUUAUAUUCUUGUCAUGGCAUCUUGUUGGUUGGACUUGCAAGUAAGAAUUUCACUGUACUGUGUAUAUGCGAAAAUUCUAUUAUUGCUAACAAUAUUAAUGACUAAGGGAAGUAAAAUAAAGUGCUGUUUGGUAAGCAUGUUUGAAAUUAACUGAUACAUGCAGCAUAUUUUAGUGGUAAAAAACAGCUGGCUCAGUAGCAUAUUUUUGAUAGCUAGGCUUGACCUCUUCCUUUGCUGCAUGUUUAAUGCCCAAAGAACCACCAAAACAGUAAACAAUCUUAAUAGCUUAGCUUCAGGCCAGUAAUGAUGUAUUAAGCAGCACUAGCCAUUUGAUAGUGCUAAUACAUGAGCUACACUUACAUCAUGUGAUGCAUUCAGCAAAAAAUGAUAUAAGAGAGUGUUUUCACCCACUGUCUUAUGCUAAUCUUUGAUUUAAACAUUUUUUUACAGAAAACCAGAAUAGUGGCACAGUGAUCUUUUACCUUUAGGAAAUAGGCUUUGGUUUCUGAUCUAGCCAAUGUCCAUCUGUUAAGCUGGCAGUUUUCCCUCUAGUGUUUGUGCUUUUGUGGUUUUAGCAGGGUUUUUAUGUUUCCCUUAUGUUAAAGACAUGGAUUCUAGGUUAAUGAAAUACAUUAAAUUGUCUUCGUGUUAGGAAGGAGUUCCCUGUUUUUACAAAGUUUCUGUCAUCCUUAUCCAGAGUAUGUGUCUUUAAUUUUACAUGACACUUAACUUUUAUGUUACAGUCACUUCCAGUCUUUGGAUGUGAAUCCUAUAAAGCCACUGUAAGAUGCUGUAUUUUGCAAAAUACACGUUGUACACUUUGUAUAUUAAAAAUAUCAGGACAGUGUAACUUUUUGUCUUUACUGUAUUUUAACAUGUUUCUUCCAAUUGUUCCAAGGUGCUUGGUAACUUUUUUAUGGAAGUAUUUUUUUUUUCAUUUCUGUGGUCUGUAUGAUCGGUUUCACCUUGUUAAACUAGUCUUUGUCAUAGACAUGUCCCACUGCAAAAAAUGUUUUGGUUUUGGGCUAAACAGAGUAUAAUGACAGUAUAUUAUACUAUAUACAGUAUAUUUUAGAAUAGCAUAGUUGAAACUAUUACUAACUUUUGUUGGUUUUUCAACUCUAAAGAAACUGUUGUACUGAAAAAUUUUGUGAAUCUCGCAUCUCACUUUUACAUUUCUUUUGUAUAUAUUACAUGGCUGUCUAAUAUGUGGUAUAGUAUUAGUUUUGAUUUCAUUUUUGAAAAUUGUGACAUACUUGUUUUUAAAAAAGACUUAAAUGUUAAACAUCGUUUUCAAAUUCUAGCACAUUUUUAAGGAAGGUUCCUUAGCCACAAUUGCGUCUCAAAAUGUAAACUUAAAUGAUGAAAAGUAUAAGCAGGGACAUGCAUUUGUGUUUUUGUUAAACAUAACACAUGGUCAAGCUUUAUUUUGCUGCCAUAAGCACAUUAUAAAUGUAUCUUGCAUAACCAACAAUAUUCCUCUAAGAAAAAGUCUGCAGUAAGGUUGCUUGCUUUGGAGUUGGGUCAUGUGAUUAUUCUUCACCAGAUAGGGACAAAUUUUAAAAUCUCACCUUGGCUAAUACAUUUUAUAUCUGUUGUUCGCCAGAAAAAAUCAAUGAUAAUAUGGAUAAACUAAGUAGAAAUGUAAAUGUCUAAAUUGUUUAACAUAGUAAGAUAAUUAUCGGCAGGAAAACUGCCAUAACCAUUACAGAGAGACUUGUGCAUGCAAUUUCUUGUUAGGAAAUGAAAUGGAACUUUCAACAGUGCAUUGAGCUGCAUUUCUAAAAAAAGUUUUUAUUUUGUUCAUUCUGUACUUUCUUUGAUUCCUGUUUUCUCCCAGCAAUAAACAUUUCUCUGAACAUGCA